GCCAGGCAUGGUGGCAUGUGCCUGUAGUCCCAGCUACUCGGGAGGCUGAGGCAGGAGAAUCACUUGAACCCAGGAGGCAGAGGCUGCAGUGAGCCAAGAUGGUGCCACUGCACUCCAGCCUGGGUGACAGAGUGAGACUCUGUCUCAA
RNAcentral lists this non-coding RNA (148 nucleotides) under Pan paniscus (pygmy chimpanzee). RNAcentral also lists the same sequence under 1 other name. The record is from Rfam by way of RNAcentral. Lineage: Eukaryota; Metazoa; Chordata; Mammalia; Primates; Hominidae.